This is a long non-coding RNA of Epinephelus fuscoguttatus (brown-marbled grouper), 7222 nucleotides long. RefSeq lists it as uncharacterized. The transcript is spliced from 7 exons. The record is from RefSeq and is a predicted model, not a curated record. NCBI's taxonomy places the organism in Eukaryota, Metazoa, Chordata, Actinopteri, Perciformes, Serranidae.
CGAGCCUCCACACCACAUGGUUAGCUGUCUUCUUAGGAUUUAUCUUUUAAAUCAUCACCUGACAUCGUCUUCUACCGCUGUGUUAUCGUACAUGUUUGUAUCCUAUGUCGAAACUCAACAUCUUACGAUGCCCGCAUUUUUAAAAUGGUCGAUUUAAAACGAUCUCGUCGCUGUUUUUUAAUCACCCACGUGCGUGUUAGGUGACGGUGGCUAGCAGCGUAGCUAGCCACCGUACGUGACUUCGGGCGAUAUUUAACCGUACAGUUCAGGUAAAGUCAAGUAAUGAAAUGUAAUAUCUAUGUGCUGAAAUGUAUAGUGUUGUUAGUAUGGCUAGGCCGCAGCCGACUGAGCCAAUGACUUAUUUUUUUUCGGCAUGUUAGCAUAGCAUGCUAGCCAGAUUGCAAGAGCUUUCGGGAAGAUGCAGUUCCGUGUCACGUGACCUUGUUUUUCUGAAUGAAGACCGGAGGACCGACGCUGCGUCACACACGCCAACGAGCGGAGGCAGAGCUGAACAUAAAAGAGAAGUUGGAGUUUUCUGACCUACGACGGCUGCUUGUUUUGAAAUAGGCUAGCCCACCGUGGUGAACUUAGCUGCCCCGAAGGCUAACUCCAGACUGUCGGACCGCACCCUGUCAGCGUCCCGACUGGUGAGGGGUCACAUUACUGGGAAAGUACUAUCAGUGUCAAGCAACAUCAGUGACGGGUAAGAUGCGCAGCAUCGAAAACAACAGCUACAUUUUAGUAGUGACGCAGAUAAUGCAAAGGGGCUGGAGAAGCACCUGACACACGGAAAAGCACCAAGGCGAUUAAUGCUUGAUAAGCUCACUGGAGCUUUUGUCAGCAUGUGACUGAUGAGAUGCAGCCAGAGAAGAGGGAAAAUAUCUACCUCAUUUGCACUCAGGGUUCAUGACUCCUGGGACCAGCUGACAGACAUCCAGCCAAACGCAUUGUGAACAGGAGAGAUGACCUGUGGCAACCAGCUGCUCAAAAAUCUGCUGUUUUUCUCCCUGAUCUCUUCGGUCUGUGGAACGUUUGAAGUGAAUGCGACACAGACCUCCUAUCAGGCAGAGGAGAACGAGGACAUCACACUGGAAUUUCUGUUCACAACCAAAGCUGACACUUCCCCCGAACCCAUUGAAAUUCUGUGUGAACUGUUAGCUGACGACGAGCCCUUAAAAGUGUUUCAUCUGUAUGACGGUGCAGACUUCCUCUGGUCUCAGAAUAAACAGUUUGCAGGACGAGUCCAGUACGACAAAGACCUCCUCAGAGAAGGACGACUCAUACUGAAUGUGUCCAGACUGAGAACUCGUGACUCUGGCCGGUACCUUUGUACAGUAGUCACAAGUUCUGGGAGCAACACUGGGAGAUGCUCGCUCAAUGUCACUGCAGCGAGGCAUUUGCUUGAACCUGAGACACCGAGCACAAGUCAACCACAACCACAGAGUCGAGGAAGGUACGGCCUCUACGGGGCACUGGGACUGGCAGGAGUAGCUCUACUGUUUGUUUGUUUCCGUAUAUACAGACAGUCGUGGUUGAUUGAAAAGAUUCAAUCAGCCACUCCAAACCAACAAGAUUUGCCGGAAGACUAUGAAGACCAUUCAAACAUUUGCACUAUGCCUGAAGAACAAGAAUUAGUCAUUCUCACUCUGCAGGAAGACAAUUCAAUUAUUUGCACGCUGCCUAAAGGUCAAGAUUCCCACUCAGAGAAAAGUUACAGUUCAGGGUAUGUAGGGGGAGAAACAGAUUCACAAAAUUAAAACUUGUGCACACCAAGAAAACUAGUUAUUCUGGCAGGGCUUGGUAUCGUCACUGAUUUCCUGAAUUGAUUUGAUUUUGAUUUUUCAAUUGGGUGGGUAAUGCCGAAAAAUUUCACACCUUUAUUUUGUUCGGUUCACUUUCACACUGCACUUUUUAAAGCAAACCAAACUGCCUGCACACUGUCAUGCAGUAUUGCCCGAAACGACCACUGAUCAGGAAAAAAAAAAGCACGAGGAAGAAAAGAAAAAAAAAACCACGGCUCAUCGAUUGGCCAGGACCGAAAUUGGAAAUCCAUCCCCUUCAGCCGGCAGAUAGCAACUGCGUUAUAGUCCUCUGACCAUAUAUCAAUAAGCGCCUGCACCUCCUCACUACUCCACAUCUGCCCAUGAGACAUGUUCCAACUUUUUCUUUUGUUACCUCUGCUUCUCCCGGUCCGCGCUGUUGGUUUUGGGGUUUUUUCUGCCCAAAAUGCACUGCACUCUGCGUCACUUCCUCUCUUUGGUCCACUUCCUCUCUUUGGUUCGCUGGAUAGUCCGUUUGCAUUUCCUACUGUAAGCGAAUCGCACCAGGGUUCACUUGCAAGUAAACCGAGACCUCCAGUUUUCAAGCACACCGGGGUUUGCUCAUUUGGUCCGCACCACUCCAAACGAACGGGACUAUCCGUGGAAGCGGACCAGGGUACGUUUAAAGCGAACCAAUAGCGCCAGUGAGAAUGUGUCCUUUAAGACAAGUUUUAAGACCCGACACAAACUGACCUAAACCGCUAGACAUAAACAGUUGCUGGAAAGCACUCUGUGCUUGUUUAAAACAUGAUGUCAGUGGCGGUGGAUGAGAAACUGCGGACAGAGUAGACUGAAAUACCACUUUUUACAUGUUUACAUGUUGCUGAUCAGCUGUAUUGAUAAAGUAUUGACUUUUUCCUUGUGGAGGUUUUAUUGCACUCACAGUAACAAGCAUAGUUGUCAUCAGCUCAAGUUAUCUUCAGGUCUGUGUUACGUCCCGAUCUAGGGGUGUGGGUGCGUAACAUAAGGACACACAGAAACACGGGAGUAAAUGUACAGGUGAGCAAUUUAUUGCUACACACUCCAAAUACACACUGUACAAUAUCGCACACAAAAUGGAGCAAAAGACGUCAGGGUGAGCCCAGGCCAAAACAACAAACAAAAAGCAACCUGUCUACCGACUGGCGAAAUAACUAAUCCCUAACAAAAACAAAAGAAACAAAAAUACAAUACUAGGCCUAACUCCCGAGGCUAACGAAAAACAGGAGAAAACAGGUAUAACAAAAAUAGCAGCUCACCCCUACGCUCCGUGCAAACAAUAAUAUGUGACAAUGACUAUUUACAAUAUACACAAACGACUCAGUUGGCCCUAAGGCGCUGGUCUUAACAAAAGAAUUAAUUAUUUAGCAAGCAAGCUAAAUAAUCACACGUGGAUCACACAACAAAGUAUUUAUCAAUCACAAAACCAGAGAACGAUACAAUGUGCUGCUGCCACGUACGAGAGUGGUCUCUCGGCUUCCGUGUGGCCGGCAUUAUGAAGGCCGAGCCCCUUGCUCCACCAAUCCGGCAGCGGUGACGUCACGCUUGUUAUCCAGUAGGCGACCGUUGACACAGAAGGCCGAGCCCCUUGCUCAGCCAAACCCGCCGGAGCAACGUCACAAUCGUCCAGCAAAUCACCUGCACACCUGUAAUCACAACACACAUGAUCUCCGGACAGAAAGAGAGGUCUGACUCUCCACUAAACAUGGUGAUCAAAUCCAUAAACUACAUAGAUAUAAACACAUACACAUAAUACGUACACAGGCGGCCGGGGGACGUAACAGUCUGUCUCCACCGCGGCAUCUUUACUCCGUGUUUGUCCAAAACAUAACAGACACCUAACGGUUACAGAUAAAAGACCCGGUAACGUCGGAGCUCCUCAAUACUAUGGUUGUUAAUAAUAUAGCGCCACGGCCUGUUUACUACCGGCGAGAUUACCAGGGUCAAAGUUUGACACAUCCGUGGAAAAAGGCCUAUGUAUAAAGAUCAAUCUCGGAUUUUAUGAAUUGAUAUCAUGUCACUCAAAUGAAGAUCAAUUUGUUUUAUCAGUUAUUUUAACCCAGCCCUGUAUUGUAGUGAUGUAGUGUUACAACUAACAUGAAACAAGCGUAUCCCUCUGCACUGAACAAGUUAACAUAUCAAAGUCAACUUGUCUGCACAGAUAUCCGCCCUCUUAGUGUUCUAAAGAGUGAAGGUUACCUGAAUAUGAUGAAUAAAAUAAAAAUGUUAGGGGGAAAUGGGGCUAUAGAGGGCCACUUAAUUGUACAUAACUGUAACAGUGCAUCAUGUAAUGGCUGAGUGGAAGCUGGACUUUCAUGUGCUACGAUCAAGAGCGAUGCAUGAUAGCCACACAGGAGAGAGCAUUGAAGUGUUACUAAAGGAGGCCGGUACUGAGUGUAGAUUGGCGGCAAAAGAUCCCACAUUGUAACAGACAAUGCAUCCAAUAUGAACUUUGUGGCUGGACUGAGAGACUUGACCCACGUAUAGUGUUUUAAACACAGCCUGAAUCUGACCUCAUAGAGAGCACUGGAAUUGUUAACAGUGGCGAGACUACUCGGCAGUCACUGCCUUUUUUGGACGCAACACCAUAGCCAGCCACCAGCUAAAGCCCAAACAGGACCUGCUCCAGCUUCCAGGACCCAGGUCAGUCACAAGAUGGGCCAGCUCAGAUGACAUGAUUUUUAGAGCAAUGACAAGUCACCUAUGCACAAUCAUGUCAGCAGAGGCCCAGAAAGACUGAAAAGGAUAUCUUAACACUGAGCCUGGCUGACAUCACACGUGCCAAGGAAGUGCUCCAGGCACGCCAAUGAAGGAUGCCACUUUGGUAAUGUCACUGGAGAGCACGCCCAUUCUGUCUAAAAUUGCACCACUUCAUGCCAAGCUGGUCACAAGCACAGAAGGAAGCCUGGAUGACACAGACAGUGAAGGACAUCAGAGCUGCGUCAGCACAAGAUCUGGGGAAGAGAGAUGCCAGUGAGAGGAAGACACUGUGCCUGGUAUCAGCUCUCGAUGCUUAAGGAUCUACUCUUUCUCUCUGAAGCAGAGACCAGUGAGACCUCCUCCAGCCUGAUUGAUGCUGUGGUGGCGGCCAUGAAGAAGCUACAGAAUCGACAAGAGGAGGUAGACAGUCCAGUUGAGGAGAAGACUCGUCUGAGGUUUGUCACCCACCUAACUAUGAAGAUAGCCCUACCAUUGCCACCCAGCCACCCAUGAAGAGACAAAGGAGCACCUGUGCAUUGACUUGAAGUGACAUUUGCCAAAAAAUCUGCACAUGAUGCUGCUGCAGCUGAGACCAAGAGGUUUAGAGAAGAAAAACCUUUGCCACCCCUUGAAAAUCCUCUCAGUUGAUGGGAGGAACACAGACUUCAGUGCCUUCAGCUACUCAGAGUAGCAAAGUGCUUCCUGUGCAAUCCUACUACAAGUGUCUGGACAGAUUUCUCCACCGCAGGAGACUACACGUAACUACACAAGGGAGAGUCCUGAAAGCUCAGCAUGUUGACCCAAUUGUCUUCGUCCACAAAAACCUUGACAGUAAAUCAUAAGCACUGGCAUUCAUACAAACUGGAGUAAUGUAAGAACCAAGUUGAAAUAAUGAAAGAUUGUUUAGCACCGCAAUAUAGCAUUAUAUUAACUUAUUAACGUACCUUUGUUUUUCUUUUCUUUCUGCAAGCACUUUUAUCUUUCAUUUCAUUCAAAUAGGCAGAUGCAAUUCCAUUGUUCAAACUGAACAAAACACAGUGUUACUACAUAACAUAGAGAAAGCUGUUCAGCACUCAGAGUGGGAAACACAUGUCCACAAUGAGCUACAUUCCAAUACAACAACCCACCCACAGAUAAACAUGGCAUUAAAAAGCAAUACAUGUACAUACAUUCUUUUAAAAACCGAUUUCAGUGUGCUAAAAACAACAAUGGCCUUAUUUAGAGAGGAUAUCUCACAGACACCUUACAUCUCUUAAAGGCUUGUGGAUUCUGCACAUCCUUUAUUACAGGAGGCAGCUGGUUCUGCUCCGUAGCACCAAUGUGAAGAGAAGACACCAUACACAUCGUGGUUUUGAAUCUAUGGAUGUUAGAGGGACCAUGCAAAAUAGUCUUAUGACAUUAAAUCCUGGACUAUGCAAUGGGAUAGGACAAAAUAUUGCUUUGGGAAUACGAUUUACUCCAUUUUUUUGUGAAUUGUGUGUGAUUUUUUUUUUUUUUUUAUUUAACCUUUGUUUCACGUUGAGAUUGAAAAUCUCACCUGGCCAAAAUCGUCCUGUGCACCUUUUUACAGCAGUGCCUUCAGUGCUGCCAAAUUGUUGACUUUCUAGCUAGAUUUUUUUUUUUUUCACUUUCAGACCCUCUCAUGCCUUUCUUUCUAAAAAAAAUAACCCACUGCCUCCGCAGGCAAAUGGACCUGCACUUGUAUAGUGCCUUUCUAGUCAUUCAACCAUUCAAAUCACGUAAAGACUACAUGUCCAUCAGGGAGCAUCAGUAUCUUGCCCAAGGAUACUUCGAUGUGCCAUCGAGGUACAGCCUAUUGAGCUAUCAUCACGUUACAAGUGUGGAGCUCUCUGGAUGGCUGCUGACAUUUGAGGCUAUGAGGCAUAACCCAAAUGUGUCUAUAGGUGUAACUGGAUAGGCAGCUUCUCCCUGCAGAUUCUGACAGUGCCAAAGAAGUAACCAAUGUUCUAGACGCUUUCAAACUAACAGCAAAAACACUCUAAAUGGGUCUCUUUGUAUUUUGACAAUGAAUGUUUGUUGUUGCAGUAACUGAGAGAUUAUCAGAGACCCAAGCCAUUGCCCUAGCAACAGAAUAGCAAGUAGUGUUGAUCAUUGCUGAUAUCAUCCACACUCCCAUAAACUGUCAUAGGACACUAAAGUAAAACACAUGGUAAAAACGAUUGAACCCUGCCAAUAUGCACCUUGAUGUGUGCACAUUAAUCAGUCCGUUGUGCCUGCUCUGUAUCAAGGAGCACCAGCUGCUGUCCAGGAGUGAACCGCUCAUGCUUUAAAGAUAGAUAGUUAGUUUAUAUUGCUGAAAUGUAUUUAUUUAAUGCAAAAAAUGCCUGUUUGAAACAGGCGAUUGCUUGGUCUGUUGUAUUGCUGCUGUGCUUUCUUGAGAACCGCUCAUACAAACUGCUUCACACUCCACGCUGCCCUUCUUUGGGUCCGUAGCAAUACACCUGGGCCCCACAUAGCUAUAGAUUCAUUGUGAUGUACUGAUGUGAAGAACAAAUUGUAUGUCGAAACGGGUCCCCAGCAAUACACCUGGGGAGUGUGAAGUAGAUCGGAUGAAUGGUUGUUUCGGGACAUGCAAAGAUUAGACUACAGCAUGUAAAUAUUUGAGUGUUUCUGCAGAUAGAGUUAGUAGAAUUAUAUUUAAAGUUUAUGAAAAUGCACUGUAUUUUUUAAAGUUCAAUAAAUCUGGUUAUUUUCAAAGUCUA